This 245-nucleotide ribosomal RNA is filed under the name Actinomycetota bacterium. RNAcentral describes it as "partial 23S ribosomal RNA". It matches the Rfam family "Bacterial large subunit ribosomal RNA", at positions 2683 to 2925 of the family's 2925-position model. The record is from RNAcentral. Lineage: Bacteria; Bacillati; Actinomycetota.
ACGAGAGGACCGGAGUGGACGCACCUCUGGUGUACCGGUUGUCCUGCCAAGGGCACCGCCGGGUAGCUAUGUGCGGAAGGGAUAACCGCUGAAAGCAUCUAAGCGGGAAGCUCGCCUCGAGAUGAGGUCUCCCAUCCCCUAUGAGGGAGUAAGACUCCUGGUAGACUAACAGGUUGAUAGGCCACAGGUGUACGCACAGCGAUGUGUUUAGCCGAGUGGUACUAAUAAGUCGAGGGCUUAAUGGU